RNAcentral lists this ribosomal RNA (253 nucleotides) under uncultured bacterium. RNAcentral describes it as "partial 16S ribosomal RNA". It matches the Rfam family "Bacterial small subunit ribosomal RNA", at positions 524 to 776 of the family's 1533-position model. The record is from RNAcentral.
UACAGAGGGUGCAAGCGUUAAUCGGAAUUACUGGGCGUAAAGCGCACGUAGGCGGCUUGGUAAGUUGGGUGUGAAAUCCCCGGGCUCAACCUGGGAAUUGCAUUCAAGACUGCCUUGCUAGAGUUUGGUAGAGGGAAGCGGAAUUCCAGGUGUAGCGGUGAUAUGCGUAGAUAUCUGGAGGAACUUCAGUGGCGAAGGCGGCUUCCUGGCCCAACACUGACGCUGAGGUGCGAAAGCGUGGGGAGCAAUCAGG